UGGGGAAUAUUGGGCAAUGGGGGAAACCCUGACCCAGCAACGCCGCGUGAGGGAAGAAGGCUUUCGGGUUGUAAACCUCUGUCCUUAGGGACGAAGAAGUGACGGUACCUAAGGAGGAAGCUCCGGCUAACUACGUGCCAGCAGCCGCGGUAAUACGUAGGGAGCAAGCGUUGUCCGGAAUUACUGGGCGUAAAGGGUGCGUAGGCGGCGCGUUAAGUCAGAUGUGAAAUACCCGUGCUUAACAUGGGGGGUGCAUCUGAUACUGGCGUGCUUGAGUGCAGGAGAGGAAAGCGGAAUUCCUAGUGUAGCGGUGAAAUGCGUAGAUAUUAGGAGGAACACCCGUGGCGAAGGCGGCUUUCUGGACUGUAACUGACGCUGAGGCACGAAAGCGUGGGGAGCAAACAGGAUUAGAUACCCUGGUAGU
Molecule: ribosomal RNA, 424 nt
Filed under: uncultured bacterium
Lineage: Bacteria
Description: bacterial SSU rRNA
Rfam family: Bacterial small subunit ribosomal RNA
Source: RNAcentral